Molecule: long non-coding RNA, 1073 nt
Organism: Ipomoea nil (Japanese morning glory)
Lineage: Eukaryota; Viridiplantae; Streptophyta; Magnoliopsida; Solanales; Convolvulaceae
Exons: 5
Source: RefSeq, a predicted model, not a curated record
UCCGACACCUUUGCGCCGCUGAAGCCCUAGAUCGUCUACGAAGAUGAAGCCCUCGAUCGCCUUCUCCUACCUACCUCUUCUCCUCAAUCGACUACGCAGCUGCGAACCUUCUCCCCCAUCAACGACGUAGCUGUGAAAUAAACCUUUUCCCCGCUCAUCUCCGCUGUCUCAAACACUCGUUGGCAUAUUGUUCUGCCGAGAAAGUUUGUAUGAGGAUGCGGAAUGCAAUGAAAGAAAACUCGCUGCAUUGAUCGUUUCUAAGCGAGGUAUACAUGAGCGAAUCUCCGGAACUGAUUCGAGCUUGGCCUUCACUUCGAAUUGGGGAAAGUGGCUUCUUUUAGAUCUAUUAGGCAUUCAGGCAGUUGGUAGAUGGAUACAAGAAAGUCUAGCAGAAGCAGUUCUAGCAUAAAUACCUUAUCAAACUACAUUGUUGGCAAAACUCUUGGUGUUGGGGGAUUUGGGAAGGUUAAAUUUGCUACUCAUAUCCUGACUGGACUUUAAAGUUGCAAUUAAGAUCUUGGAUCGGCAGUUAACGAUUCAGUUGCAGCAAAAGUGAAGCGGUAGUGAGGCUGCUAGUACAUCAUCAUAUAGUUUGCUUGUAUGAAAUCAAAGAGACCGAAUCACGCAUCUAUGUUGUUAUGGAAUACAUGAAGUGUGGCGAACUUUUUGAUUAUAUCACACAAAAAGGCAGGAUCCAUGAGGAUGAGGCAUGUCACUUCUUCCAGCAGGUAUUCAAUUCAGUUCAAUUCAAUUCUAAAUACUAUUUAUAGCUACCAUCAUAAAUAUGAUUAUUUGUUAACUGUGACUGCAAUCUUACUGGGGACAAGAUAUAGAUUUCAUAAUAUAAUAAGAGUUCAGAUUCUGAAAGUUCCUGCACUCCUUAUAGUUAUAAGUGUCAAGGCAAUGUAGUUUACAAAGUAUGAUGCUGGUGAGUUGUGACUAAUUAGACAUUAGUGCCACAGAUUGCAUGUAAAUUGUAUUAAAUGUAUGGUUCGGUGUUGUUUAUUCCGAUUAGCAUCGUAAACUUGUAUUGUUAUGAAACUACUACUACUUGUGUUACAAUUGCUACUUGC